AUUUCCAGGUGAACAACGGCUAUUUUGUUUUAAGAAAAACAGAUAAUGACAAUUUAUUGGAAGAGCAAAAUUUAUCUAUAGCUGCCUUAUCUAAAUCAUUGCAGGUUGAGUCUUUGGAGCAGAUGAAAUAUUUAAUCCGUAAACCGAGGUCAUCAUUCCCAGCAUCUGAAAACAUAACAGACAGUGCCUGGUCUCUGAUGUGGCAUGUGCAAGAGGACACAUUUCCCAGCAUGAAGAUUUACGAAUCUUGGAGGCGUGGCUACUCAGGCGCAGGAAUACAUAUUAGCAUCCUUGAUGACGGUGUUGAACCAGACCAUCCAGAUCUUGUAGGAAAUUAUGUGCGUUC
Long non-coding RNA from Ruditapes philippinarum (Manila clam), 346 nucleotides. RefSeq lists it as uncharacterized. NCBI's taxonomy places the organism in Eukaryota, Metazoa, Mollusca, Bivalvia, Venerida, Veneridae. The transcript is spliced from 3 exons. The record is from RefSeq and is a predicted model, not a curated record.